CAGAGGGUGCAAGCGUUGUUCGGAAUUAUUGGGCGUAAAGCGCGUGUAGGCGGCCAAGCAAGUCGGGUGUGAAAGCCCUCAGCUUAACUGAGGAAGUGCGCCCGAAACCACGUGGCUUGAGUACCAGAGAGGGUGGCGGAAUUCCCGGUGUAGAGGUGAAAUUCGUAGAUAUCGGGAGGAACACCAGUGGCGAAGGCGGCCACCUGGAUGGAUACUGACGCUGAGACGCGAAAGCGUGGGGAGCAAACAGGAUUAGAUACCCUGGUAGUCCACGCCGUAAACGAUGAGCGCUAGGUGUUGUGGGUGUUGACCCCUGCAGUGCCGAAGCUAACGCAUUAAGCGCCCCGCCUGGGAAGUACGGCCGCAAGGCUA
RNAcentral lists this ribosomal RNA (372 nucleotides) under uncultured organism. Its description in RNAcentral is "bacterial SSU rRNA". It matches the Rfam family "Bacterial small subunit ribosomal RNA", at positions 526 to 896 of the family's 1533-position model. The record is from RNAcentral.